AGUGAACGCUGGCGGCAGGCCUAACACAUGCAAGUCGAGCGGCAGCGCGUCCGACCACCCUCGGGUGGUCGGAUGGCGGCGAGCGGCGGACGGGUGAGGAAUGCAUCGGAAUCUGCCUCGUUGUGGGGGAUAACGUAGGGAAACUUACGCUAAUACCGCAUACGACCUACGGGUGAAAGUGGGGGACCUUCGGGCCUCACGCGAUGAGAUGAGCCGAUGCCGGAUUAGCUAGUUGGCGGGGUAAAGGCCCACCAAGGCGACGAUCCGUAGCUGGUCUGAGAGGAUGAUCAGCCACACCGGAACUGAGACACAGUCCGGACUCCUACGGGAGGCAGCAGUGGGGAAUAUUGCGCAAUGGGCGAAAGCCUGACGCAGCCAUACCGCGUGUGUGAAGAAGGCCUCGGUUGUAAGUACGACUU
Molecule: ribosomal RNA, 419 nt
Filed under: uncultured bacterium
Lineage: Bacteria
Description: bacterial SSU rRNA
Rfam family: Bacterial small subunit ribosomal RNA
Source: RNAcentral